GAAGAACUCUGGCGGCGUGCUUAACACAUGCAAGUCGAACGAAGUGGCGAACGGGUGAGUAAUACGUGGGUAACCUGCACUCCUUUUUGGGAUAAGCCUUUGAAACGGGGUCUAAUACCGACUUACGGAGGAUGGGCUCGGGGCCUAUCAGUUUGUUGGUGUGGGGAUGGCCUACCAAGGCGGUGACGGGGUGCCGGACUGAGAGGGUGAACGGGAACAGAGGGACGGAGAUACGGCCAAGAAUCAGACGGGGGGCAGCAGAGGGGGUGAUUGCACAAUGGGCGAAAGACUGAUGCAGCGACGCCGUGUGGGGGAUGAAGGCUUUCGGGUUGUAAACCUCUUUAGGAAUCGAACGGGUAGGUGGAGAAGAAGCGCCGGCUAACUACGUGCCAGCAGCCGCGGUAAUUC
RNAcentral lists this ribosomal RNA (408 nucleotides) under uncultured bacterium. RNAcentral's name for it is "partial 16S ribosomal RNA". It matches the Rfam family "Bacterial small subunit ribosomal RNA", at positions 31 to 526 of the family's 1533-position model. The record is from RNAcentral.